This 428-nucleotide ribosomal RNA is filed under the name uncultured bacterium. Its description in RNAcentral is "partial 16S ribosomal RNA". It matches the Rfam family "Bacterial small subunit ribosomal RNA", at positions 354 to 796 of the family's 1533-position model. The record is from RNAcentral.
GUAGGGAAUAUUGCACAAUGGAGGAAACUCUGAUGCAGCGACGCCGCGUGAGUGAUGAAGGCCUUCGGGUCGUAAAGCUCUGUCGCAGGGGAAUAACACAAUGAAGGUACCCUGUAAGAAAGGAUCGGCUAACUUCGUGCCAGCAGCCGCGGUAAGAUGAGGGAUCCUAGCGUUGUUCGGAAUCAUUGGGCGUAAAGCGGAUGUAGGUGGCUAUGUAAGUCAGAUGUGAAAGCCUGGGGCUCAACCCCAGAAGUGCAUUUGAUACUGCGUAGCUUGAGUGUCGGAGAGGUUACUAGAAUUGUUGGUGUAGUGGUGAAAUACGUAGAUAUCAACAGGAAUACCGGAGGCGAAGGCGGGUAACUGGCCGAACACUGACACUGAGAUCCGAAAGCGUGGGGAUCAAACAGGAUUAGAAACCCUGGUAGUCC